GCUGGGUGUGAUGGCUCACACCUGUAAUCCCAGCAUUUUGGGAGGCCGAGGCAGGUGGAUCACUUGAGCUCAGAAGUUCAAGACCAGCCUGGGCAACAUAGUGAGACCCUGUCUCUG
Molecule: unclassified non-coding RNA, 117 nt
Organism: Pongo abelii (Sumatran orangutan)
Lineage: Eukaryota; Metazoa; Chordata; Mammalia; Primates; Hominidae
Rfam family: Metazoan signal recognition particle RNA
About the family: The signal recognition particle (SRP) is a universally conserved ribonucleoprotein. It is involved in the co-translational targeting of proteins to membranes.
Source: Ensembl